AGAACUCAAGCAGGGCGG
This 18-nucleotide unclassified non-coding RNA is filed under the name Mus musculus (house mouse). RNAcentral's name for it is "oocyte_clustered_small_RNA14028". The record is from RNAcentral. Lineage: Eukaryota; Metazoa; Chordata; Mammalia; Rodentia; Muridae.